UAGACCUCGGAUCAGGUAGGGAUACCCGCUGAACUUAAGCAUAUCAAUAAGCGGAGGAAAAGAAACCAACAGGGAUUGCCUCAGUAACGGCGAGUGAAGCGGCAACAGCUCAAAUUUGAAAUCUGACCCCGGGGCCUGAGUUGUAAUUUGUAGAGGAUGCUCCGGGCGCGGCGCCGGUCUAAGUUCCUUGGAACAGGACGUCAUGGAGGGUGAGAAUCCCGUACGUGACCGGCGGCCAAGCCUGUGUGGAGCUCCUUCGACGAGUCGAGUUGUUUGGGAAUGCAGCUCUAAAUGGGUGGUAAAUUUCAUCUAAAGCUAAACAUGGGCCGGAGACCGAUAGCGCACAAGUAGAGUGAUCGAAAGAUGAAAAGCACUUUGGAAAGAGAGUUAAAAAGUACGUGAAAUUGUUGAAAGGGAAGCGCUGGCAACCAGACUUGCCGCCCGGUGAUCAACCGUUUUUCUGAACGGUGCACUCGCCGGGAUGCAGGCCAGCAUCGGUCUGGGUGGUUGGACAAACCCUUCGGGAACGUGGCUCCCUCGGGGAGUGUUAUAGCCCGUCGGACCAUGCAACCCUCCUGGACCGAGGACCGCGCUCCGGCUCGGAUGCUGGCGUAAUGGUGGCCAGCGGCCCGUCUUGAAACACGGACCAAGGAGUCUACUACCAAUGCGAGUGUUUGGGUGUCAAACCCACACGCGGAAUGAAAGUGAACGGAGGUGGGAACCCCUUGGGGCGCACCAUCGACCGAUCCAGAUGUCUUCGGAUGGAUUUGAGUAAGAGCAUUGUUAGUGGGACCCGAAAGAUGGUGAACUAUACUUGAAUAGGGUGAAGCCAGAGGAAACUCUGGUGGAGGCUCGCAGCGGUUCUGACGUGCAAAUCGAUCGUCAAAUUUGAGUAUAGGGGCGAAAGA
Molecule: ribosomal RNA, 908 nt
Filed under: Fuscidea verruciformis
Lineage: Eukaryota; Fungi; Ascomycota; Lecanoromycetes; Umbilicariales; Fuscideaceae
Description: eukaryotic LSU rRNA
Rfam family: Eukaryotic large subunit ribosomal RNA
Source: RNAcentral